GAUGAACGCUGGCGGCGUGCCUAAUACAUGCAAGUCGAGCGAACAGACGAGGAGCUUUCUCCUCUGGCGUUAGCAGCGGAUGGGUGAGUAAUACGUAGAUAACCUGCCUAUAAGACUGGGAUAACUUCGGGAAACCGGAGCUAAUACCGGAUAAUAUAUUGAACCGCAUGGUUCAAUAGUGAAAGACGGUUUUGCUGUCACGUAUAGAUGGAUCCGCGCCGCAUUAGCUAGUUGGUAAGGUAACGGCUUACCAAGGCGACGAUGCGUAGCCGACCUGAGAGGAUGAUCGGCCACACUGGAACUGAGACACGGUCCAGACUCCUACGGGAGGCAGCAGUAGGGAAUCUUCCGCAAUGGGCGAAAGCCUGACGGAGCAACGCCGCGUGAGUGAUGAAGGUCUUCGGAUCGUAAAACUCUGUUAUUAGGGAAGAACAAAUGUGUAAGUAACUAUGCACGUCUUGACGGUACCUAAUCAGAAAGCCACGGCUAACUACGUG
This 497-nucleotide ribosomal RNA is filed under the name uncultured bacterium. RNAcentral's name for it is "partial 16S ribosomal RNA". It matches the Rfam family "Bacterial small subunit ribosomal RNA", at positions 28 to 507 of the family's 1533-position model. The record is from RNAcentral.